UACGAAGGGGGCUAGCGUUGCUCGGAAUCACUGGGCGUAAAGGGUGCGUAGGCGGGUCUUUAAGUCAGAGGUGAAAUCCUGGAGCUCAACUCCAGAACUGCCUUUGAUACUGAGGAUCUUGAGUAUGGGAGAGGUGAGUGGAACUGCGAGUGUAGAGGUGAAAUUCGUAGAUAUUCGGAAGAACACCAGUGGCGAAGGCGGCUCACUGGCCCGGUACUGACGCUGAAAUACGAAAGCGUGGGGAGCAAACAGG
Molecule: ribosomal RNA, 253 nt
Filed under: uncultured bacterium
Lineage: Bacteria
Description: partial 16S ribosomal RNA
Rfam family: Bacterial small subunit ribosomal RNA
Source: RNAcentral